Long non-coding RNA from Myotis brandtii (Brandt's bat), 436 nucleotides. RefSeq lists it as uncharacterized. The transcript is spliced from 3 exons. NCBI's taxonomy places the organism in Eukaryota, Metazoa, Chordata, Mammalia, Chiroptera, Vespertilionidae. The record is from RefSeq and is a predicted model, not a curated record.
AGUAAGAAAUGACAUUUAGAACUGCCGAGACCUGGAGGCCCUUGUCCUAUCUAACAAAACCAUGGAACUGCCAUUUAUCGAGGAUUCAGCACCAGAAGCCCCGGGUUUGAGCUAAUGCUCAUUCCAUUUCACCCUAACAAGUUCUGUGAUGAAGGGCCCAUGAGAAGACCAUCUCAGAAUAUACCUCGUGGGAAUAGAGCAGAGAGCCUUCCUGAACUGAUAGCCUGGGAGCAAGCAGGACAUCAAAAGCUGGCUUAAGUGAACCCAUGACUCAUGGUCACUCUUGGCAACAAAGAAGAGAUAAUGGAGAUUAGACAGAGCAUGACAUCACUUCAAAAACAAGAGGAGGAAGAGGGGACUCGAUGACCUCAAAUCACCUGGGAAAAGAACAGUGAGCCAGUGGGUGCGCAGACCCUUGGGUACUCCACCAAUCGUA